UACACUCCUACGGGAGGCAGCAGUGGGGAAUUUUGGACAAUGGGCGAAAGCCUGAUCCAGCCAUGCCGCGUGCAGGAUGAAGGCCUUCGGGUUGUAAACUGCUUUUGUACGGAACGAAACGGCCUUUUCUAAUAAAGAGGGCUAAUGACGGUACCGUAAGAAUAAGCACCGGCUAACUACGUGCCAGCAGCCGCGGUAAUACGUAGGGUGCAAGCGUUAAUCGGAAUUACUGGGCGUAAAGCGUGCGCAGGCGGUUAUGUAAGACAGUUGUGAAAUCCCCGGGCUCAACCUGGGAACUGCAUCUGUGACUGCAUAGCUAGAGUACUGUAGAGGGGGAUGGAAUUCCGCGUGUAGCAGUGAAAUGCGUAGAUAUGCGGGGGAACACCGAUGGCGAAGGCAAUCCCCUGGACCUGUACUGACGCUCAUGCACGAAAGCGUGGGGAGCAAACAGGAUUAGAAACCCGGGUAGUCCCAUGA
RNAcentral lists this ribosomal RNA (477 nucleotides) under uncultured organism. RNAcentral's name for it is "partial 16S ribosomal RNA". It matches the Rfam family "Bacterial small subunit ribosomal RNA", at positions 332 to 800 of the family's 1533-position model. The record is from RNAcentral.